Molecule: non-coding RNA, 132 nt
Filed under: Callithrix jacchus (white-tufted-ear marmoset)
Lineage: Eukaryota; Metazoa; Chordata; Mammalia; Primates; Cebidae
Source: Rfam by way of RNAcentral
GAGUUCUGCCCAGAGCUCUGAAAUCAAAGUGAAGAAAUAAAUACACAGAAGCCCAGGCAAAUGACAGGUGUAGCUAUGACUCUGAAGGUAAGCAAAUGCCUUGUCAUCUAGUUAGGCUGUGUAUGAAUAGAU